This 107-nucleotide small RNA is filed under the name Thalassotalea sp. ND16A. RNAcentral's name for it is "t44 RNA". It matches the Rfam family "t44 RNA". Rfam says of the family: This family consists of a number of bacterial RNA genes of between 135 and 170 bases in length. The t44 gene is found between the map and rpsB genes in all species in the full alignment apart from Shigella flexneri. The record is from Rfam by way of RNAcentral. Lineage: Bacteria; Pseudomonadati; Pseudomonadota; Gammaproteobacteria; Alteromonadales; Colwelliaceae.
CACAAUUUAUAUAAACUCACAUACAUUCGGCAAACAUAUUCCGGGGUGCCUGUUACCUGCUUAAAGGUGACUAUAGGUUGGAAAUAUGGAAUGUAUGAACGCUUAAC